RNAcentral lists this ribosomal RNA (253 nucleotides) under uncultured bacterium. RNAcentral describes it as "partial 16S ribosomal RNA". It matches the Rfam family "Bacterial small subunit ribosomal RNA", at positions 524 to 776 of the family's 1533-position model. The record is from RNAcentral.
UACAGAGGGGGCGAGCGUUGUUCGGAAUUACUGGGCGUAAAGGGCGCGUAGGCGGCCUCUUAAGUCAUACGUGAAAUCCCUCGGCUCAACCGGGGAACUGCGUGUGAUACUGAUUGGCUUGAAUUCGGGAGAGGGAUGCGGAAUUCCAGGUGUAGCGGUGAAAUGCGUAGAUAUCUGGAGGAACACCGGUGGCGAAGGCGGCAUCCUGGACCGAUAUUGACGCUGAUGCGCGAAAGCCAGGGGAGCAAACGGG